RNAcentral lists this ribosomal RNA (526 nucleotides) under Lasiodiplodia theobromae. RNAcentral's name for it is "eukaryotic LSU rRNA". The stretch from base 160 to 313 matches the Rfam family "5.8S ribosomal RNA". The record is from RNAcentral. Lineage: Eukaryota; Fungi; Ascomycota; Dothideomycetes; Botryosphaeriales; Botryosphaeriaceae.
GGAACCUGCGGAAGGAUCAUUACCGAGUUUUCGAGCUCCGGCUCGACUCUCCCACCCUUUGUGAACGUACCUCUGUUGCUUUGGCGGCUCCGGCCGCCAAAGGACCUUCAAACUCCAGUCAGUAAACGCAGACGUCUGAUAAACAAGUUAAUAAACUAAAACUUUCAACAACGGAUCUCUUGGUUCUGGCAUCGAUGAAGAACGCAGCGAAAUGCGAUAAGUAAUGUGAAUUGCAGAAUUCAGUGAAUCAUCGAAUCUUUGAACGCACAUUGCGCCCCUUGGUAUUCCGGGGGGCAUGCCUGUUCGAGCGUCAUUACAACCCUCAAGCUCUGCUUGGAAUUGGGCACCGUCCUCACUGCGGACGCGCCUCAAAGACCUCGGCGGUGGCUGUUCAGCCCUCAAGCGUAGUAGAAUACACCUCGCUUUGGAGCGGUUGGCGUCGCCCGCCGGACGAACCUUCUGAACUUUUCUCAAGGUUGACCUCGGAUCAGGUAGGGAUACCCGCUGAACUUAAGCAUAUCAAUAA